This 253-nucleotide ribosomal RNA is filed under the name uncultured bacterium. Its description in RNAcentral is "partial 16S ribosomal RNA". It matches the Rfam family "Bacterial small subunit ribosomal RNA", at positions 524 to 776 of the family's 1533-position model. The record is from RNAcentral.
UACGUAGGGUGCAAGCGUUGUCCGGAAUUAUUGGGCGUAAAGAGCUCGUAGGCGGUUUGUUGCGUCGGCUGUGAAAUCCCGAGGCUCAACCUCGGGUCUGCAGUCGAUACGAGCAAACUAGAGUGUUGCAGGGGAGACUGGAAUUCCUGGUGUAGCGGUGAAAUGCGCAGAUAUCAGGAGGAACACCUGCGGCGAAGGCGGGUUGCUGGGCCGACACUGACGCUGAGGCGCGAAAGCCAGGGGAGCGAACGGG